Molecule: long non-coding RNA, 1766 nt
Organism: Mya arenaria
Lineage: Eukaryota; Metazoa; Mollusca; Bivalvia; Myida; Myidae
Exons: 3
Source: RefSeq, a predicted model, not a curated record
AGAUGUGACUAGAGAAGUGCGACAAGAGGAUAGAGAAGUGCGACAAGAGGAUAGAGAAGCAGAAAGGAAGAAGCUGGAGAACAACUGUAGAAAGCUGAAACAUGAGUUCAGAAUAUGGCAUCGAAAGGAGCUGACAGGGUGGACUGUUAUAUUACAAUGCAGAUGAUAACACAGAAAGUCGUAUCAACAGCGGUAGUCUUCAAAACGUUAAAGAUGACGUUCAGCAAGGCGUUCAAUAGAGGUCGAGUUGUGCAUGGGCAGGAGGCCCGAUAUUGGAUCACGAAUAACCACCUUAAGAUUGACAAAGUCUCUGAGCAGUGUUUCCUGCUCUUUUCCAUAUAUCGCGCACUCAACCAGCUUACUGCUGAUGUUUUUAGUCUUGAUGUCGAUGGAGACGAAAUGCGCGUUCUUCAGUCUAUCCUCUUCGAUUAAGUGGAUAUACAAAUGAAUUCUUUAACCGGACUCGUAAGCUGUUUGUUGAGAGUAAAGAUUGUGAUUCGUUGUUGAAAAUAACGAGAUGGGAUGGACGCAUGAAUAAUAUGCUUCGGGAAAAAGCCUCACUCAUUGACAACAGUUCUUACAUGUUAAGAAGUUUAACUAAUAAGAAGAUCUCACUGAAUUGUGUAAUUCUUUGACUCUCUGAAUAUUAAAUGGCUGGAGGGGUGAUAAUAAAAUUGUCAACUUGAGGGAAUACAGUCGACCGAGGCAAACGUAUCCUGCUUGAAGGAUUAGGCAAACUUGUCCCUAAAAUACUAAAUAGGCAGACAUAUACAAACUUUUUUAUUUUUCAGGGUUCAGUCUAAUUAGUAUAGGGAAAACAUCCAAAUAGUGAACGUUCGAAAGUUUUUAGAUACAUUGAAUAAUCAAGAAUAUACAAAAUUUAAGGUCUGUCGAUUUUUUUCUAUACCUCAUAGGCCAUAGGCAGACUUUAGGUGAAAACCAUCAAUGGGCAGACUCGUAUAUAUAGUAUACCAAACCAACAUUCGGCAGAUUCGUAUAUAUAUUAUACCUAACCAUCAUUCGGUGGUCUCAAUAUGUUUAGAUUUUAACAAUAAACUGUCCAAAAAGAAUAAUCUCAUUUUCCAAAUAACACAUUAUCUUUUUGAAAAAUAAAAUUCUUAAAACAAUUAAAUUUGGCUUAAAAUUAAACUGAGUUCUACAAACUCCAUGGUCCGCCUACGGAGAGGGACUGUGUGUCCGUUUCAUUCAAUGUCUUCGUCGUACUUGGACUACAAUGUAGUUUCAGUUUAUUUGUUGAACACACUAUUGGUAAAACUAAUGGGCUCCACUCUAAAAAGUUCCUUUAGAUUUCCUAGUAACGACAAACAUUCGUUCAUGAACAAAAACCUGAGAUCGCAAGUUCGAUUCCCGAUCUCUUUGGUAGGAAGAUGUGAUCUGACACUCGACCUACACGAUCGAAGUAAAAGAACCAAUUGUCUACAUGUUUUAUUAUAUAUUGGUGUGAGUCACAUCCCGUCUCACGCUUCAUGAAUUUGGACCAAGCAAUAAUGUUCUCAAUAGGCGCGGGCACUCCUUGACAAACUUCAAAUUCGGAUAGGAAAUUUAUGGAACACAAAUAUUUAGCUAUCAAAAUUACGUGAACAUGUUAAGUUCAACGAUGUCGUUAACAUCCAUAUGCUUGGUUUUAUUGUAUACUAACUGCGGAUAUGAUACUAAUGAUACCAGCUCAUUUCCCUUUCCCAUUCUGAGUGUGAUUAUAGGAUUGAGUGUCUUUUCUCUGAAUAAAACAUAUACUGAAAAUGAUA